CAGCAGUGGGGAAUCUUGCACAAUGGGCGAAAGCCUGAUGCAGCAACGCCGCGUGCGGGAUGAAGGCCUUCGGGUUGUAAACCGCUUUCAGCAGGGAGAAAUUGACAGUACCUGCAGAAGAAGCCCCGGCUAACUUCGUG
This 140-nucleotide ribosomal RNA is filed under the name uncultured bacterium. RNAcentral describes it as "partial 16S ribosomal RNA". It matches the Rfam family "Bacterial small subunit ribosomal RNA", at positions 349 to 507 of the family's 1533-position model. The record is from RNAcentral.